UACAGAGGUCCCAAGCGUUGUUCGGAUUCACUGGGCGUAAAGGGUGCGUAGGUGGCAAGGUAAGUUUGAUGUGAAAUCUUCGAGCUCAACUCGGAAACUGCAUUGAAUACUAUCUUGCUUGAGGAUUGGAGGGGAGGCUGGAAUCUCGGUGAGCAGUGAAAGUGCGGUAGAUAUCGAGAGGAACACCAGUGGCGAAGGCGAGUCUCGUAGACAACUCCUGA
Molecule: ribosomal RNA, 221 nt
Filed under: uncultured bacterium
Lineage: Bacteria
Description: partial 16S ribosomal RNA
Rfam family: Bacterial small subunit ribosomal RNA
Source: RNAcentral